Molecule: ribosomal RNA, 478 nt
Filed under: uncultured Planctomycetales bacterium
Lineage: Bacteria; Pseudomonadati; Planctomycetota; Planctomycetia; Planctomycetales
Description: bacterial SSU rRNA
Rfam family: Bacterial small subunit ribosomal RNA
Source: RNAcentral
UUCGCAAUGCCCGAAAGGGUGACGAAGCGACGCCGCGUGUGGGAAGAAGGCCUUCGGGUUGUAAACCACUGUCGGGAGUUAAGAAAUGUAAGGAUGUUAAUAGCGUUCUUACUUGACUAAGGCUCCAGAGGAAGCCACGGCUAACUCUGUGCCAGCAGCCGCGGUAAUACAGAGGCGGCAAGCGUUGUUCGGAAUUAUUGGGCGUAAAGAGCACGUAGGCGGCCCUGAAAGUCAGUUGUGAAAGCCUUCUGCUUAACAGAAGAACAGCAUCUGAUACUACAGGGCUAGAGUGCGGGAGGGGAGAGUGGAACUUCUGGUGGAGCGGUGAAAUGCGUAGAUAUCAGAAGGAACGCCGGCGGCGAAAGCGGCUCUCUGGCCCGUAACUGACGCUGAGUGUGCGAAAGCUAGGGGAUCAAACGGGAUUAGAUACCCCGGUAGUCCUAGCCGUAAACGAUGGGCACUAAGUAGAGGGGUUUUA